RNAcentral lists this ribosomal RNA (460 nucleotides) under uncultured bacterium. RNAcentral describes it as "partial 16S ribosomal RNA". It matches the Rfam family "Bacterial small subunit ribosomal RNA", at positions 338 to 795 of the family's 1533-position model. The record is from RNAcentral.
CCUACGGGUGGCAGCAGUGAGGAAUAUUGGUCAAUGGGCGGGAGCCUGAACCAGCCAAGUCGCGUGAGGGAAGACGGUCCUAUGGAUUGUAAACCUCUUUAGUCGGGGAGCAAUGCCGGGCACGUGUGCCCGGCGGGAGAGUACCCGCAGACUAAGCAUCGGCUAACUCCGUGCCAGCAGCCGCGGUAAUACGGAGGAUGCGAGCGUUAUCCGGAUUUAUUGGGUUUAAAGGGUGCGUAGGCGGAUUUUUAAGUCAGCGGUAAAAUGUCCGGGCUCAACCCGGGCCGGCCGUUGAAACUGGGGUUCUUGAGUGGGCGAGAAGUAUGCGGAAUGCGUGGUGUAGCGGUGAAAUGCAUAGAUAUCACGCAGAACUCCGAUUGCGAAGGCAGCAUACCGGCGCCCGACUGACGCUGAGGCACGAAAGCGUGGGGAUCGAACAGGAUUAGAUACCCUGGUAGUC